This is a long non-coding RNA of Lolium rigidum, 2976 nucleotides long. RefSeq lists it as uncharacterized. The transcript is spliced from 3 exons. Lineage: Eukaryota; Viridiplantae; Streptophyta; Magnoliopsida; Poales; Poaceae. The record is from RefSeq and is a predicted model, not a curated record.
AAUAUGCAGAUUACUUGUUGAUGAUCAGUUGACCAACGGGACAAUUCCCUCAAGUGAGUAUUUGAGAUGAUAAUUGAGAUGUAGUCAUGUAGAUGACAAAGGUUCUCACUACGUAAUGAUAUUUUUGACCUCAUGGACGAAGGUCUAGAUUAAUUAUGCUUAGGAGAGGGUUGUCUCUUAAUUAAUAUAGGUGGAUGAUGAAUUUGAUCUGCUCUGUUCAUAGUCCGACUGGGUACAUACUGUAAUAUAGCAGAUUAAUAUAGCAAUGUGCAGAUACAUGAUUGAUGAUUGUCACUUUUAAGUUCUUUCGCGGAGUCCAAUUGAUGAUGAUUAUUACUGCAAGGAUACAACCACACGGGGAGUAUUAUCGCAGGUCGAAGGAACAAAUAUGCAGAUUUUGCCUCUAGGAUGUAUUACGCUGAUGCAAUUACUGGGAAGUUCUUGUGAGAAUUGCACACAUCGAGGGAUAUAGGGAUCAAGAGACAGCAAAACUCACAUGAAUUGGACUUUAUUGUUCUUGACCGUGAGGUACUCCUGCACAAAUCAGUACAUAGCUAUACCUUAACUUACUGCCUUUUCCCUAUGCAUAAUCUACUUAAAUUAUCAUAAAUAAUGUACUGUCCUUUCUCUGGUGUAGUAUAGAUUUUCUGUACUACCACAUCGCUCUCUUCUUUGUAUCGUCGUAAUAUCACUACUCACUCUAUCUUUGUAAGCUAUACGAAUAGUCAAUUUCAUACUCUCCCAAGACAGCGAUACGUCAAACUUUUGGUCGUCCUCGUCGUACUCCUGCACGCGCCCAUAUGGGCCAGGCCCAACUAAAACUGCCAGCCUCCCAUCGUUCGUCCCUUGUCCCCUACUCUAUGCUCCCACCAGGCCACCCUAAAAAAAGUCGAUCCGAGCGGACGCCUAGGGUUUUGGCGCCGCCAUGGCCGGCAUGGUCUCCCCCGGGCCCCUGACACCCCUGCACCGUCUGAUGUCCUAACGCGUCAAAGAAGAGGCGGAGGAGCCUGGGCCAAAUCCUGACGCCACCUGCAUCGCGUCAAUGGCGGGAUCGUGUUCAGGUCGGUCGCGAAGGAGAGGGGAAGAAGGGCCGUCGUUGUUGGAGGUGGGAGGAUGUGGUGCCACUGGGGAGAGGGCCCAGAGGGGGUGCCACCGGCUUGUUAUUCUUAGCCCCCCGUCCAGCAGAUCCCCGCCCGUGCCCGUGUUGGGGAGAGAGGGGCGGCCAGAUGGAAGGUGAGGAAGGCUCUCCAGGCCAAGGGAGAGUUGGUGCCCGGAGGAGCACGAGCACUUCCUCGAUGCCCAACUCAGGUCAGUGCAACGACAUGCCACUGGGACGUGCCCUGUUCGUUCUUCUCUGCUCUGAACAAAUAUGAAUCCAGCUAAUCUGUAGCUAGAUUUCAGGUUCGGCUGUGCCUGGAAGAUGAUCGAGGAGCACGUCAGAUCUGGAUCUGAUCAUAUUUUGGUCUUCCUUUUUAUUGUCUUUUUGUUUGGGAUGAACGGAGGUGAACGGAGGUGACAAUAAAUUCAGAGUUCUAAACCAGCAUGUCGUUAUAUAAAGGAAUCCUAGGAGCCAGGAUAUCGGGCAUCUUCAGUAGUCAAACACCUGGUACAUAUGAGUUGUGGAAGACAGAUGGUGCAUCUGCUAGGAAGCCUCAUGCCACCAAUUUGAGUCAGAGCUUUGGACUCCUGAACGGGUAUCUAGCGAUUAAUACUCAUGAAAGAGAAGUCCUAUGGUGAAGUUUGUGAUGUAUUUGAUAGAGCCAAUAUUUUAUUAGCUUCCAAGGAUGGAAGUUUGGCGGCAUCUGUUGAGAAUGGUUAGAUGUUCCAGUGAUUGAUGUUGAGAAUGGAUAGGUGUAUUUGACCUCAACUCUUGGGUUCAACCGGAAGUGAUGGAACUUGGCAUAGAUCAGUCUCAGUCCAGAAGUAGUACAUGUGGUUGGUUCACAAACUUCCGGUGGUAACGUGAAUCUUCAAUCGCCUAUUUUCGUUAAUCUGGUGACUUCCAUCCUUCUUCGCUGUUUGAGAGAAAGACAAAUACCAACAGAGGAACAGUUGUUCCUAACCCUGACUAUCGAUUACGAUUGGUCUCUUGGCAUGGACUUUAACAUCAACUAAAUAAGAUAUGGUAUCUGUUAGCAGAGUAAUAUCUCUAAACGGUCCACUAUUGUCAAAAUGCACGGAUAGCUGGUGCAUUUGGAUACGCAGACAAUCUUCUUGCUGCUGCACCUGUAGGCCUAUGGGGGUUGCUUCUUUUGUUUCAGAAAGCGGAAUAGAAACCCCAGACACGAGUGGAGAGGAUGGUGCAGGUUUACCACAACCUGGCCAAGUGGGAGUACUUCUGCCCGCUUACCCCAGACUACACUUACGUGUCACCAAAGCUGGGCUGCUGGCCUACGAUGUUGACAACCUGUCGGCAGUAGGGCAGCCGGAACUGAACAUUGUUGCGUCAGGGACUCCCUUCACGUCGUUCUGAAGAACCCUACAUAAUUGCGGGGCGUCGGAGCAGAUGGCAUGUAGCACAAACCAAUUUGGGGAUUCAGAAACGGCGAUGUGGGGCACGUCGGGGAAGGAAAUUCCAGUGCCUGGAACCACUGGAAUGGAUGCAUGACGUGUUCAAGAUCGACACCCAAUGAGUCAAUCCAGACAUCCAGGAAAUCUUUUUUUGAAAGAUUAGCUUGGCUGUCUUUUGUAUAUUAAGCAGAGGGAAAUACAAGACCACGAAGUGUGGUAAGUAAAAGUAUACAAAGACAGAGGACCUCGCAAAGGUUCUCUGAAGGGAGCUGCUGGACAUUUGGCAUCAGCAAGACGCCAUGAAUAAGGGAGAGAUUGCAUGCAUUAAUGAGGUUGUGCUCGAGGUUUUUUAUCCAAGUGUUCUCCAAUAAGUCUGUUUUGACAACUCGGUUCUUUCUCUUGGAGUGCUUAAAUAGCGCGGGGAAAGCUAAGCGCAGGGGAUGCGCAAGGAGCCAUGAAGACUCC